UCUAUAGACCGGAAGUUAUACAGCCCUCCAAUGUGGAGGCAGGAGCGCCACUUGCCGUCUCUCAGCUGUAUCAAAUGAGUCAUCUUGAGCAAGGCCUGCCCACAUGAAUUCAAUUUGUUAAUGUUUGGCCUCUGCCCCGGGAGGGCCCUGCCAGGAGCUUUAGGAUAAAACAACUCAGCAGAGCUCUAGGCAAGAGUUGACGAGACCUUCUCAAGAGCCACUGGUUCUGCCAAGGACCUCCUCCCUGCCUAGCAUGUGAAGACACUUUGGCAAAGCCUGGCACAGAACCUGCUAGUGAAGUCACCUAUCCCUUUUCAGGGUCCCUUAAAGGGCCAGGAGUGGCAAAUUUAAACACAGAGUUGCCUUCAGUGCUCCCAGGCGCUAGGAUGGGACUUCAGGGAGCUGCCAGCAGGAGCUAUUUUUAUGGAUUCCUUGGGAUUUUCUGAGUAGAAGAUCAUGAAACUGGUGGAUACGGACAGCUUUAUUUCUUCCUUUCCAAUCUAUUGGAGUGGGCAAGAGUGGAAGCUGAAGGAGCCCAAAGGAGACUGUUGCAAUGUUCUAGAUGAGAGACGAUGACAUUGGAGCUUCUGGUUCUCAGGGCUUUGGACUCAGACUGAAUUAUACGACCUGUUUUCAGCUUCUCCACCUUACAGAUGGCAGACUGUGGGACUUCUUAGCCUCUAUAACCACGAUCUCUACACAAUUUUCAAAUAUCAUGAAGCCAUGAACAUGAUUACAGCUUUCUCAUUUUACAGGUUAGGAAAAUAAAGUAGAAAAGUAAAUCCAUUGAAGACAAUAAGCAAUGGAUAUCACCAGCAACAGAAUACUGAGCAUCAUCAGAAUUAUCUUGGCUAGACAACGUCCUGAGAGGAUUCGUUAUGAGAAUAGUGUCAAUCAUAGCUUUAAGACCUUGCUUUGGAAGGAACUGAUGAGAAAGCAGAUUGGAAGUCUCCAUAUCCUGGUGGAAAGAAUUCUCAUUCCUGGGCAGCUGAUCCCCCACCCAGGCACCUGGGAAGCCUGGUUUCCCCCAGCUCAGGCUGAAGGGGAAGAGAUGUGCUGGAGCUUCUGCUGCUGCUUCUGCUCUGACCAAUGGCCAACUUCCUAGGAACCAGAGGGAGGCCCAAGGUCAGGCUGCCCUACCGCAUGGAAGGCCCCG
This 1156-nucleotide long non-coding RNA is filed under the name Equus caballus (horse). Its description in RNAcentral is "lncRNA (ENSECAG00000048895.1)". Lineage: Eukaryota; Metazoa; Chordata; Mammalia; Perissodactyla; Equidae. The record is from RNAcentral.